RNAcentral lists this transfer RNA (71 nucleotides) under Marmota monax (woodchuck). RNAcentral's name for it is "tRNA.Ala". It matches the Rfam family "tRNA". Rfam says of the family: Transfer RNA (tRNA) molecules are approximately 80 nucleotides in length. The record is from RNAcentral. Lineage: Eukaryota; Metazoa; Chordata; Mammalia; Rodentia; Sciuridae.
GGGGCUGUAGCUCAGUGGUAGAGUGCUCAGCUAGCACAUGUGAGGCACUGGGUUCGAUCCUCAGCACCACA